This 3844-nucleotide long non-coding RNA is filed under the name Homo sapiens (human). RNAcentral describes it as "SOX2 overlapping transcript". The stretch from base 689 to 964 matches the Rfam family "SOX2 overlapping transcript exon 3". The record is from RNAcentral. Lineage: Eukaryota; Metazoa; Chordata; Mammalia; Primates; Hominidae.
GAAGGAAAGUCGCUCAAGCAGUGGACAGAGCGGAGAAAGCGACUUCGGGUUGGUUGAAGGGUCUGCUGGAGUUUGCUGGAGGUGCACUCCAGACUCUGUUUGCCUGCCUAUCACCAACAGAGGCUGCAGAACAGCAAAGAUUGCUGUCUGUAACUUCCUCUGGAAGCUUCAUCCCAGAGGGGCACCUGCCAGAUGCCAGCCGGAGCUCUCCUCUAUGAGUGAAUGAAGGAGGGAAGAAAGGAGAGACAGAGAAAAUAUGGGUGAGUAGUGUCUCCAUCUGAGAUUUUUUUCUCAGUAAGAUCAUGUCUUUUUGGCUCCAUUCCACUACUUCCUUCAUUGGACUGCAAGGUAUUUCUGUUUGGAAAAGUAAUGGAGUCCAGUCAACUUCAUUGAUCGCCAAGGACUGUCAAAAUUAUAAAACUUGCUGUGGAGCUCUGACAUGCCAGAAGCCGCUAGAAAAAGAAGUUUGACAUUCAGAAACUUAUCAAGAGGUUCUACUCUUUGGAUAGAGACCAAAAUCAUACUUUGAAUGAUAUGCAAUGCAAGACUCCCAAGAUUCUGGGCAGUGGCAGGGAGGUGCAGCUUCUAGUCUGCCGCAUGAUCACAAUGAAAGCCUGACAGGUUUCUUCGGAAAAGUGGCCAUCCAUGGAAUGAAUGAAAUGUUCUCUUUCUAUUCCAGGGAUUGCAGUGGCAAAGCUAGGCUAGGUCUUGGAGGCUGGUGUAAGGCGAUGUGGGUGAAGGCAGGAGGCUGAUGGAAAGACUGGGGGGAAGAAAAGCCGAAAUGGAUUCACGGUGCCUUGGAUGAAGGACGAGAGGGGAACUGCAAGCUCCUUCAACUGGUUCUGUCCGGUGAGAAGUGAUCAAGCUUGGGCUGACAAGAGGCUCAGGGAGCCCUCACGUUCUUUCGCUUUUUUACCUGCCAAUCAAACUGCUACAAGACAACACCCUGAUCUGGCAUGGACAUAUCCAACUUAGAAAUAAUGUUUCAUUCAAGAUAAGGCUCGUGGCUUAGGAGAUUGUGACCUGGCUUGCAUCAUUCUAAGACUUCUAUCGUCUGUUUUCAAAACCCAAGGAGGACCUCCUUUUCUGUGUGAUAGUUCCUCAUGCUUUGCCAGCCACUGGGUCUUUAAGGAAGCUUGCCAAGAGUUCCCGGCUGGGAAGGACAGUUCGAGUUCAUCAUAGACAAUGAGCUGGCACCACAGUUUAAGUGACUCACCAACCUGGUUGCCCACUUCAAAAUGUCAAGAACCACACUAUCUAAUUGAAAGAACUGUGUUUUAGCAAAGUGUAAUUGGAUCGCCUGGCAAGAUCAUCUCAAACUAUGUCUCUGACCUUGCCUUUCAGUGGCUAUUUUGAGCACAAGAGGAGAAAGGAAAUGAUUCCUGAAUUAUAUCUUGUUUUUAAAAAUUAAGAUUAAUUAAUACUUGGUUUUAUGUUCAUUCCAUUGUAGGAACUUAGUGAUUAUUACAAAACAGUCAAAAUAGGUCAUAGCAAAAUGAACGUUUAAGAUUAGGUUAAAACAUUCCUCUGAAAUUUUAGUAUUCACUUUUGAAGUGUCAAUUACUAUAUUUCUGUAAUUUCUCAUUUUUUUCUUGGCUUAGAGUCAAGAUGAAAAAUGAUAUUUGAAUCAAAGACAUUGUUUUGUUAUAUAGCCACUCCUUUCUAAAAUGCAAAUCCACCCUCCCCUCACCAAUGCUUUAUUCUUUGUGCGCGCACACACACACACACACACACACACACACACACACACACACAGACAUACACAGAACCAGCACCCAAAUGGUAGAGGAGGUCCUUCCAAGACUUCUAGGACCUGGAUCAUGUAAGCAGUAGAUGAGAAAAUGAAGUAAGAGAUAUAGAGUAAUAACAAUAAAAGUCAAUGAUUUCAUUUUACAAAAAAGUCAUUGUGUAGUACUCAGAUAUUUUUAAGAGCAAGUAUUAUUAUGACUAAAGUAUAUUAUACUUCUAAAUUAUUAUGAUUCUCAUCUAAUUUCAAGCCACACAUAGGCGCCAUUUGAAAGCAUUUUGUGUUACAACCUAUCAACAAAAAUCAACUAAUAGUUUUAUAACGUGCAUAGGUUUACCCCAUGGGGAAUUAAAAUUUUUAUCUGCAAGUAUUUCUGUUGUUGUGAGACUUUAGGACAAGACAACAUUUGGUGUUAACAUAGAAGAAUAUUCUAUGGCUUUUUUAGCUUUAAAGUUCAUUACUCUAAAAUAAAGUACACGUGGUAUUUUUUUCUUCCUAGUGUUCUCUUAUUAUAUGUAGAGUAUUUUCGGUUGUUGUUUUUAACGUAUACAUUAUUUUUAUUAAGUCAUUUCAUAAAAGAUAAGAUAUAUACUAAUAGACCCUUGGUUUUCUCCUAAUUUAAUUAUUUCAAGUCAAGCAAAAUUGGGCAAUUUUCUUUCAGGAAAAAAAAAAUAUUGAGCAUGAUUUUGAGGUAAAACUGAUUAUUUACAGCAUCUUUUCUCUAAUAGGCUAACAUUUAUGAUGGAUCUUAUUUCAAAGUUGAUUAUUCUCAAAGAAAAGUGGAGAUAUUAGAAUUUCCGAGUAAAUUGCAUUGUUUUAAAAAGUACUUUAAUGCAUUGUUCACAUUGUUGCCAGCUAUUGACCAAAAAAGAGAAGAAGAAAAAAGAAAUAAAAAAAGCAGUAUCUGCUCCAAACGUCAAGUUUUGCAGUUUGAAAGACUUGUACAUUAUAAUUGUUUUUUUCUUUUUUGGAAAGCAGUAGUAAUUAAUACCAAAGGCAUAGACAAUUUAGGGCCAUAACCUCCCUUCCCCCCUCUCCACCUUUUUUUUUUUUUUUUUUUUUUUUUAACUUUAACCAUGAUAGGCAUCUCUGCAAGGUAGGUUUUAACAUAUUUUUUUCCUAAUUUUUUUCCCUCCAUUCAGUAAGAAGGAUAAGCUUUUAGAGUACCCAGUCACCGUGGUAACUGCCAAAAAAAUUCUCCUGAAGUUUGAAGAGGUCAGCUAGCAGGGUCAACAACCCUGGCCUCUCUCUGAGCUCGGUCUAGCAUGCCCCAGCCUGCGGUUGGAGUGUCAGGCCAGAUCUGACCCUGGGAGGUGGACCAUUCUGGCUCUGAUAUAAAUUUUUCGAGUCAGUUCAUGGCCUGGACUCUCCAGGUGGCCUCCAAAAUCGAUUUUGACCCCCUGACCCUGUCUCACGGAGGCAUAGCAUCCACCCUAAGUAAGGAUUUAGCCAGGAAUGACAGCUUUCCACUGAGUGUUAUUGGGGACAGUAUAAACAGUUUGGAAAGCAAGUAAGGAGGUGUGAGGGCUAGCAAUCAUUAAAAGCACAUUAAAAAACAAUUUUUAAAAAUCUUUAUUAGAGAAAGUUGUAAAUGCAUAUCUGUUACAGAAUUCCUGUGAUUUGUAGAGUUUUCUAGUCAGUUUUGAAUAUAAAUAGGUCACAUAUCUUUAUCUUUUUGCAUACUUUGUUACAAAUAUGCAAAUAAGAUAGGCAUACUUGCUACAAAAUAGGUACAGCAGGAAUGUAAUAUGUUCAGAAAAGGCAAACUGGUUAUUAAAACACAUUAACAGGUAAGGAGUUUCUAAUAUUUUAAAUACUAAAAUUUUACAUGUGUAUUUUGAAGUUUUUAAAAUGGAAAAAUAAAGAACCUUUAAAAAACCCAACAGUGUGGAAUAAAGAUAAACUUGUUGCACUCAAGGUACAUUUCUACUUUGUAAAGCAAGAAGCCAAUACACUCAGUUGGAUAAAAAUGAGAGAAAAAUUGUAAAUAUAGAGAGUUACAGCUUAUAGAGCUGAAGAGGAAUAAAACAAAAAAAAGUGUCUCUGAAUAACUUUAUGUAUUUUCAACAGUUUAAGAUAUCAGAAACUUGGAAAAUA